Molecule: ribosomal RNA, 253 nt
Filed under: uncultured bacterium
Lineage: Bacteria
Description: partial 16S ribosomal RNA
Rfam family: Bacterial small subunit ribosomal RNA
Source: RNAcentral
UACGGAGGGGGCUAGCGUUGUUCGGAAUUACUGGGCGUAAAGCGCACGUAGGCGGCUUUGUAAGUUAGAGGUGAAAGCCCAGGGCUUAACCCUGGAAUUGCCUUUAAGACUGCAUCGCUUGAAUCCGGGAGAGGUGAGUGGAAUUCCGAGUGUAGAGGUGAAAUUCGUAGAUAUUCGGAAGAACACCAGUGGCGAAGGCGGCUCACUGGACCGGUAUUGACGCUGAGGUGCGAAAGCGUGGGGAGCAAGCAGG